Molecule: ribosomal RNA, 465 nt
Filed under: uncultured bacterium
Lineage: Bacteria
Description: partial 16S ribosomal RNA
Rfam family: Bacterial small subunit ribosomal RNA
Source: RNAcentral
GACGAACGCUGGCGGCGUGCUUAACACAUGCAAGUCGAACGGAAAGGCCCUGCUUGCAGGGUACUCGAGUGGCGAACGGGUGAGUAACACGUGGGUGAUCUGCCCUGCACUUCGGGAUAAGCCUGGGAAACUGGGUCUAAUACCGGAUAGGAGCCAUUUUUAGUGUGAUGAUUGGAAAGUUUUUUCGGUGUAGGAUGAGCUCGCGGCCUAUCAGCUUGUUGGUGGGGUAAUGGCCUACCAAGGCGGCGACGGGUAGCCGGCCUGAGAGGGUGGACGGCCACAUUGGGACUGAGAUACGGCCCAGACUCCUACGGGAGGCAGCAGUGGGGAAUAUUGCACAAUGGGCGCAAGCCUGAUGCAGAGACGCCGCGUGGGGGAUGACGGCCUUCGGGUUGUAAACUCCUUUCGCUAGGGACGAAGCUUUUUGUGACGGUACCUAGAUAAGAAGCACCGGCUAACUACGUG